Molecule: transfer RNA, 72 nt
Filed under: Bacteroidales bacterium
Lineage: Bacteria; Pseudomonadati; Bacteroidota; Bacteroidia; Bacteroidales
Description: tRNA-Thr
Rfam family: tRNA
About the family: Transfer RNA (tRNA) molecules are approximately 80 nucleotides in length. Their secondary structure includes four short double-helical elements and three loops (D, anti-codon, and T loops).
Source: RNAcentral
GCCUUUGUAGCUCAGGGGUAGAGCGCUUCCUUGGUAAGGAAGAGGUCGCGAGUUCAAUUCUCGCCGAAGGCU